CCGCGGUAAGACGUAGGAUGCAAGCGUUGUCCGGAUUUAUUGGGCGUAAAGAGUUCGUAGGUGGUUUGUUAAGUUUGGUGUUAAAGAUUGGGGCUCAACCCUGAAACUGCACUGAAUACUGGCAGACUCGAGUGUGGUAGAGGCUAGUGGAAUUCCCAGUGUAGCGGUGAAAUGCGUAGAUAUUGGGAAGAACACCGGUGGCGUAGGCGACUAGCUGGGCCAUAACUGACACUGAGGAACGAAAGCCAGG
RNAcentral lists this ribosomal RNA (250 nucleotides) under uncultured bacterium. Its description in RNAcentral is "partial 16S ribosomal RNA". It matches the Rfam family "Bacterial small subunit ribosomal RNA", at positions 515 to 764 of the family's 1533-position model. The record is from RNAcentral.